Molecule: transfer RNA, 59 nt
Filed under: Alectorobius rudis
Lineage: Eukaryota; Metazoa; Arthropoda; Arachnida; Ixodida; Argasidae
Description: tRNA-Cys
Source: RNAcentral
GGUCUUAUAGUUUAAAAAAAAUUUUAAAUUGCAAAUUUAAUGAUGAUUUUCUAAGACUU